RNAcentral lists this ribosomal RNA (301 nucleotides) under uncultured bacterium. RNAcentral describes it as "partial 16S ribosomal RNA". It matches the Rfam family "Bacterial small subunit ribosomal RNA", at positions 509 to 807 of the family's 1533-position model. The record is from RNAcentral.
CAGCCGCCGCGGUAAAACGGAGGGAGCUAGCGUUGUUCGGAAUUACUGGGCGUAAAGCGCGCGUAGGCGGUUACUCAAGUCAGAGGUGAAAGCCCGGGGCUCAACCCCGGAACUGCCUUUGAAACUAGGUGACUAGAAUCUUGGAGAGGUCAGUGGAAUUCCGAGUGUAGAGGUGAAAUUCGUAGAUAUUCGGAAGAACACCAGUGGCGAAGGCGACUGACUGGACAAGUAUUGACGCUGAGGUGCGAAAGCGUGGGGAGCAAACAGGAUUAGAUACCCCCGUAGUCCCUGUCUCUUAUAC